CGUGGGGCAGCCAGCUAACUUUGGCCUCCAUGUCCUUCUGUAGUCUAUGAAAGGAGGUACAGGGCAAAAAAUUGGGAAGAUACAGCAUAGACCUUUGACUGGUGCGAGGAACUAUCCCCCGCAGUCGCAUAGGCCGGGCCAUAUGGGACAGAGGGACAGGAUAGCCAGACGAGGCUGAUGAGUUCACCCACGUCUUCUUGCUUCUGGACUUCUCAACACCUCCCUGUGGAAAAAAUAGAAGGAGAAACCUCACCUUAUCACUUCCUGUCCAAGAUUAGGUCUCUGCUUCCUGAGGACACAGAGCAGCACGGAGGUGGUGACUUUAAUUAAAAAUGUAAGCAUUUGCAUUUGUAUUGCUGUUUGUGCAUACAACUGUAAAUUAAUCUUCCUGACUUGUGAAAUAUGCUGUUUUAUCUUUUUUAGUGCAUUAUGAAACGCUCAUGGGACGACUGAGCAGCGGACCCAAAGUGAAUGAGUAAUGUGUCCAGAGCAGUCCAAGGACCCGCAACAUCCAGCUUUGUUCAAACUCCCCAGCAGGCGGCGUAGUGGUUGGCACUUUCCCCUCCUAGUCUGCAGGUCCUCAGUUCGAAUCCCACUCCUGAUAAUAAUGCCGUGCUGUAUAAAUGGGUAAAAACGUAUAAAUACCUUGUGGCAGAAGCCAAAAACUUCACGUCGCACUUUGUCCACUAAAUAACGGUUAAUAACACCCAACGCGCGUGCGUGCGUCUCCCUCUCUCUCUCUCACACACACACACGCACGCUCGUCCAGCAAACGCAGAUCUUGCAAGCAGUCCUUUACGUGCAUUCGCUAAAAAAAGGGAUGCGCUCUCGUUUCUGCUGUCCGUGACUGUGUUUCUCCUCUAAGUUUCCCGAAUAUGUAGCCAGUGCGGCCGCCGCCGCUGCACUGUGA
Molecule: long non-coding RNA, 910 nt
Filed under: Scleropages formosus (Asian bonytongue)
Lineage: Eukaryota; Metazoa; Chordata; Actinopteri; Osteoglossiformes; Osteoglossidae
Description: lncRNA (ENSSFOG00015024561.1)
Source: RNAcentral